RNAcentral lists this ribosomal RNA (468 nucleotides) under uncultured bacterium. RNAcentral describes it as "partial 16S ribosomal RNA". It matches the Rfam family "Bacterial small subunit ribosomal RNA", at positions 28 to 507 of the family's 1533-position model. The record is from RNAcentral.
GACGAACGCUGGCGGCGUGCUUAACACAUGCAAGUCGAACGGAAAGGCCCUGCUUUUGUGGGGUGCUCGAGUGGCGAACGGGUGAGUAACACGUGAGUAACCUGCCCUUGACUUUGGGAUAACUUCAGGAAACUGGUGCUAAUACCGGAUAGGAGCUCCUGCAGCAUGGUGGGGGUUGGAAAGUUUCGGCGGUUGGGGAUGGACUCGCGGCUUAUCAGCUUGUUGGUGGGGUAGUGGCUUACCAAGGCUUUGACGGGUAGCCGGCCUGAGAGGGUGACCGGCCACAUUGGGACUGAGAUACGGCCCAGACUCCUACGGGAGGCAGCAGUGGGGAAUAUUGCACAAUGGGCGGAAGCCUGAUGCAGCAACGCCGCGUGCGGGAUGACGGCCUUCGGGUUGUAAACCGCUUUCGCCUGUGACGAAGCGUGAGUGACGGUAAUGGGUAAAGAAGCACCGGCUAACUACGUG